Long non-coding RNA from Triplophysa rosa, 800 nucleotides. RefSeq lists it as uncharacterized. The transcript is spliced from 4 exons. Lineage: Eukaryota; Metazoa; Chordata; Actinopteri; Cypriniformes; Nemacheilidae. The record is from RefSeq and is a predicted model, not a curated record.
UUUAGCCCACGUGCUCCACAUGCACCGGUUAAACAACCGACAUGUUAAACUAAAUGAAAGUAUACCAAAACCCUGAUAAAAUACACACGAGACAAUAUCCCCAAUAUAACCAAAACCGAGCAUAAAAGAAUGACUUUUAAACAAAUACAACAAAUUAGUCGGAGCUCAACAGGAACCUACCUCUCCCAUGCACAGCUAGUGUGAAAAGGGAAGAGCAGGUGAACAGACAGGAAGUUACGCAAAACACCGUUCACAGAAUAUUUAAAGGGGAAGGCGCACGCAGACAGAAUAUCAGCCUCCAGUUCCGACUGAAGUGCGAUCGUUUCCUCAUCUGCACUCAGAGGUGAAAUUUUGUGAUAAAAGCCACAGAAUUCACUUAUUAGGCUAUCUGCAAGGCAGCUGACUGGACGGGCCUGACUGACAGGUGGGUGGGCCCAUGGUCCACCCGGCCCACCCUACGCGCCUGAUAUAUUGUGGAGUGAAUAAAGAAAAUGCAAUUGUCCUACCUUGCAGGACGAAGGAGAAGGCAGCACCAGAGAGCCCGAAGACAACAAAUAUAGAAACAGGUGGCAUUAUAUAGGCAAAUGUUGAAGGUGUUUUCCAAGCUCAUGAUGACAUCAGUAGAGUUGGGACUUGAGAGACUGUCUAUGAAAGACUGAAAUGAGAUGAUUUCAUCAGAUGCUAGUUCUUCAGAACAGCUUCUCUGGUGUUAGAUGCCUGCUGGGGUUGCCUAGAACUUUAGAUUGAUACUGGCAGAGGUUAUGCUUUUAUUUUACUUUAUUUUAUACAAGUAUAUUAAU